Long non-coding RNA from Arachis duranensis, 326 nucleotides. RefSeq lists it as uncharacterized. The record is from RefSeq and is a predicted model, not a curated record. NCBI's taxonomy places the organism in Eukaryota, Viridiplantae, Streptophyta, Magnoliopsida, Fabales, Fabaceae. The transcript is spliced from 3 exons.
UAGAGAUAAACUAUUCAUCUGAUGAUCAGCCCAAUCCCCGUGGUGAAAUAUGUGUCAGGGGUCCCAUUAUUUUUCAAGGAGAGAAGUGAUUAAUGAAGAAGGAUAGUUGCAUAUAGGAGAUAUUGGAAUGUGGUUAUCUGGUGGUCGUCUCAAAAUUAUUGAUAGAUACAGGAGUCAUUCCAGGUUCCAUUCCACCUGCCCCUCAGUAGAUCUUAGUCAUUUUGGUGAGCCAUUCUUCUUUCCAAGGGCUAAGUAAUUAUGUAAUGGAACCUUUGCUCAAAAUUUAGAUUAUGUCAAUGCUCCAUAUGUCACAGGCAGGAUCCUCG